GGCGUGCCUAAUACAUGCAAGUUGAGCGAUGAAGAUUGGUGCUUGCACCAAUUUGAAGAGCAGCGAACGGGUGAGUAACGCGUGGGGAAUCUGCCUUUGAGCGGGGGACAACAUUUGGAAACGAAUGCUAAUACCGCAUAACAACUUUAAACAUAAGUUUUAAGUUUGAAAGAUGCAAUUGCAUCACUCAAAGAUGAUCCCGCGUUGUAUUAGCUAGUUGGUGAGGUAAAGGCUCACCAAGGCGAUGAUACAUAGCCGACCUGAGAGGGUGAUCGGCCACAUUGGGACUGAGACACGGCCCAAACUCCUACGGGAGGCAGCAGUAGGGAAUCUUCGGCAAUGGACGAAAGUCUGACCGAGCAACGCCGCGUGAGUGAAGAAGGUUUUCGGAUCGUAAAACUCUGUUGGUAGAGAAGAACGUUGGUGAGAGUGGAAAGCUCAUCAAGUGACGGUAACUACCCAGAAAGGGACGGCUAACUACGUGCCAGCAGCCGCGGUAAUACGUAGGUCCCGAGCGUUGUCCGGAUUUAUUGGGCGUAAAGCGAGCGCAGGUGGUUUAUUAAGUCUGGUGUAAAAGGCAGUGGCUCAACCAUUGUAUGCAUUGGAAACUGGUAGACUUGAGUGCAGGAGAGGAGAGUGGAAUUCCAUGUGUAGCGGUGAAAUGCGUAGAUAUAUGGAGGAACACCGGUGGCGAAAGCGGCUCUCUGGCCUGUAACUGACACUGAGGCUCGAAAGCGUGGGGAGCAAACAGGAUUAGAUACCCUGGUAGUCCACGCCGUAAACGAUGAGUGCUAGAUGUAGGGAGCUAUAAGUUCUCUGUAUCGCAGCUAACGCAAUAAGCACUCCGCCUGGGGAGUACGACCGCAAGGUUGAAACUCAAAGGAAUUGACGGGGGGCCCCC
Molecule: ribosomal RNA, 901 nt
Filed under: Lactococcus lactis
Lineage: Bacteria; Bacillati; Bacillota; Bacilli; Lactobacillales; Streptococcaceae
Description: bacterial SSU rRNA
Rfam family: Bacterial small subunit ribosomal RNA
Source: RNAcentral